GACGAACGCUGGCGGCGGGCCUAAUACAUGCAAGUAGAACGCAGUUGCGAACGGGUGAGUAACGCGUAGGUAACUGCCUCAUAGCGGGGGAUAACUAUUGGAAACGAUAGCUAAUACCGCAUACUGUACGCUGGACCUGCGUUGUUUUUGCUAGUUGGCGAGGUAAAGGCUCAACAAGGCGAAGCUACAUAGCCGACCUGAGCGGGCGGCCGGACAAACCGAGACUGAGACGCGUCCCAGGCUCCGACGGGAGAAAGCAGUGGGGCAUCUGCGGCAAUGGACGGAAGUCCGUACGAGCAACGCCGCGUGAGUGAAAAAGGUUUUCGGGUCGUAAAGCUCUGUUGUUAGAGAAGCGGAAACUAACCAGAAAGGGACGGCUAACUACGUGCCAGCCGCCGCGGUAAUAC
Molecule: ribosomal RNA, 407 nt
Filed under: uncultured bacterium
Lineage: Bacteria
Description: partial 16S ribosomal RNA
Rfam family: Bacterial small subunit ribosomal RNA
Source: RNAcentral